UAUUCCCGCCCGCCUGCGCCUAGUCCGCGAGACAGGGCAGACUGCCCUAUAGAAAACUAGCGAGUAGUAGCGGAGUGGCGUUGCAGUUUCGAGAUGUUUCGCAACACAGUGGUUUUGCGAACGCAUCCGCCGUCGAACUUAUCCUCGCCCUUCCUGCUACGCCAGCUCUCCCUCCUCCGCCGCCCCGAUCCGUCUCCGACUCCGUCUUCUCUCGCUGUCGACGUCGAAAUACUCUGCUGGAAGAUCUGUCGCCGGUGGCGCCUCGCGUGUUUCCUUCAGCCUCCCGACGUCUUCCUUAUCUACCAGAGGGCUCAAUACGAGUCUGUUGAUCGUGCAUUGGAAGAGCUUCUCCGGGCAAUGCCGGAUUUCACUAUUGGGCUGGAAGAAGAGGUAGCAUCAGCGGCAUUGGUUGCAAAAGCAGUCGAGAUCUGGUUGAGGAUUCUCAUGAUGGAGCAUAAAUGGACAUGUGUUGGCGACUGUACAUUUGUAGAUUCAACAUUUGCGGGAACAGAAGAGAGAAGCAAUGUUUGUGCCCUUAAUUUGAGGGUACAACCAGAGAUGGGGGAUGACUUGGUUUUCCUUGUGUCACCUGAAGUGGUUAGGUUCAACAGAUGCAAGGUAACAGAUUUAGUUAAUUCUAAAGCAUGGGAGAGAUUUGUCAAUGGUGUUCAAGUACUGCUCGAAGAUUGUGAUUUAUUACGGGCCUGUACCAUUAUUCCUUCAUUAUACCAAGCGUAUAUAAUUGGAGUUUGUAAACUACUUCCAGAUAAUGAAAGUUUUGAGAAGCUGACAUGUCUUUGGUCAUUAAAGCAUGGUCUAGAAUUAAAGAGUGAUUACUUCAUUUGCGUUCAACUCAGACAUGGAAGCCAUCCAAAUAAAUGGUUCCCAUCAGCUUAUAUUCUUCAAGAUCCUGUGUUUUCUCCAGCCCUGAAUAGUAUUAGAAGCUUAAAAGCUCUGGAUGCUCUAGAAUCAUUCGUGAAACUAAUUGAAGCUUGGAAUUUCUUCAGCCUGGGACAGCUUAAAGUCAAGGAAGUGUCAACACUUGGUACUGGAACAAAUAUACCCUCCUGGAUAAAGGCUACAAAUCAUUUGGCAUGUCAUAUUUUAAAAAAGGACACUUCUUAUAGUGAGGAAUUCGUAAAAAAAUAUUUGAUUUGCAGGGACCUAAAGUCAUCGUUAGACUUCCACACUCCCAAGCCUUCAAUAUGUGGCACUAGAGAGUUGCAGCACAAAUAUGUCCAAAAGAAUUCUACAGUUAUAUGCAGGAGUAGUCUAGGCACCAGGAAAGACUAUACUGGAAAUAUUGGCAAUAUAUGUUCAACUACUGAUAGUGUACCAGCAGCAGUCAUGAAAGUUCCACCUUCUGCUUCCAUUGAUUCAGCUGUUACUCCAGAGAAGCCUCGGCAACCUACAUUCGGAAAAAGGAAAAUGGUUAAAGUUCAGAAAGGCAUAAUCUCCUCAAGUCAGAUGACUCAUAGUUUUCUUGCUGAAGAAAAGCACAUUUCUGCUGGAUCUGGCGUAAGCAAAGAUCCUCCUCAAAGAUCAAAACAACUUGGUAACAAGAAAGAAAAAACUAUAGUUCCUGGAACUAAAUCUCUAGAAAAAUCUGGAAAAGAGGUAGCAGUAGAGAUUUCUCAAAAGAAGGCUCGUAACAAUGAGAAGAAGAAAGAUAACUUAGCAGAAGACUCCAAGACAAGGCCCAAACAAUGUACAGACCAAUCUGCCAUAAGUGAAAAGGUUGCAAAUUGUUAUAUCAGAGGGGAGCUACAAUCCCUCACUGUAGCGGACCUGAAAUGCUUCCUUGCAUUUAAAAGGGCCAAAGUAGGAGGAAAGAAGGAAGAGCUCGUCAAACGAGUUGCUUCCUUGCUUACCUGACUGAAGAAGUGACAUCCAUCACUAUUGUUUGGGAUAAAUGGUUGGAGAUGAAGCAAAUGUUGUGCGCCAAGUGAGUUUUAAAUCUGGUGACUGAAUGCUUAUUCUUUGCGAGCUACAUGAGACGAAUGGAUAGUGAGCGGCCAAGCAAAUUGGGUGAAGCAAACAACAUAGGUGGUAGACACUGGAUUUUUAUUUUUCAAUUUUGAUCAUUGAAUCUCAUCCUUCAACUUUUUGGAUUUUGAUGGUGACUUUUUGUUUAAAUAGCCUAUACCUAUUAGAUAUUUCCUUUGGUGAUUGUCUUUUAAAUAGCACAACGAGCAAAGGAAGAAUUCUACAACCUACUUUAUUGUAAUAAAAAUCAUCAUAUUAAAAUAAUUUGGCGAUAAGUAAAUCAAAGUAGAGGCAGACAGUGCAGUUGU
Molecule: RNA transcript, 2294 nt
Organism: Zingiber officinale
Lineage: Eukaryota; Viridiplantae; Streptophyta; Magnoliopsida; Zingiberales; Zingiberaceae
Exons: 19
Source: RefSeq, a predicted model, not a curated record